CUUUCCUCCCACUCUGCCUCUCUCUCCCCCUCCCUCUUCCUCUCCUUUUCCCCUUGCCUUUCCUCCCCCUUCCUCUCCCCCUUCCUCUCUCCCUUCCCUUCCAUGAGACCCUCCCCAACCCAUCUCUGCAUCUCCCAGCUCCUCCCACUCCUGCUCCUCCCUCGCCCUGCCCCCCUCCACCUAUCCCAACUCCACUCAUCCGCAGCCCAAACACUGAUCUGUUUUAGUUUGCAUUUUCUAGAGUCGUCCAUAAAUGGAAUCAUCCCAUAUGUACUUGAUUUUGUCUGGCUUCUUUCACUCAACAUAGUUACUUUGACAUGCCUGCGUGUUUUUGCAUGGAACAAUCAUUCAUUGCUUCCUGAGCAGUAUUCCAUUUAUGGAUAUACCACCGUGUGUUUAGUCAGCACUUGAUUUAGCCUGCUUUCAAUUUUUCCUGAUUAGAACUACAGCUGCUAGGAACAUCCCUGUGCAAAUCUUUGUACAGACAUAUACGGUUUUUCCUCUCUGGGGUAAAUACCUGGAAGUGGAAUGCCCAGGUCGUAAGCCUAACCUGAACUUAAGCCGGCAGAUGAGGAUAAGGCUCCCCAGCCUCCCGGAACAAGCAGACAGUUAUUAAUGGAAAUGUUCCACCAGUUCAGGGAGUUUUUGGAAAACUAAAGGAGUUCGCAGGGUCAUACAUCAUCUUUUUCUUUCAUCUUGAAAACUAAGAAACGAAGAAAAAUUGGAUCAUGGAAAUACAGGAAUUUACAUCAGGUCUGUGCUGGGAGCCUUCCUGGGUGAUCCUGUGUUUCCAUCAUUAAUCACUUUGAACACUGCAUUCUCAUUUGGCAGAAUGCUGAAGCCUUACUGGUCUGAGGUGUCAGAGGUCAGAGCCUGAGACUGACAGAGGAGCCACAGGUGACCAGCAAACUGCAGAAGCUCUGGGGAGAACUCCAUGGAGUCAGGCUAAAAACAGCAGCAACCAGAAACUGUAAGAACUGAGCAGAGAUACCAGCUGCACCACUAGAGAGACAAAGUGUGUAGCUCACUGCCUAGUACAGCAAAAUAGCCACAAUCCUCAGAAGGACACAACAGAAUCUGGAAUCACUAGAAAGUAUUAUCUACAAUGCUCAUUCUUAACCAUGCAAAGAAGAAACAGGAAAGUGUGAUUCAAAGUCAGAAAAAAGUCAGUCAAUAGAAAUCUACUCUGUUAGGGACAGGUGUUGGUGAAUUAAGUAAUUAGAGACUCUAAAGCAGCUAUGAUAAAUAUGUUCACAGAGGAAAGCUCAAUAGAGAAAUGAAACUUCAAACAUGGAAAUUUAAGACUUGAAAAGUACAAAAACUAGAAAGAAAAAUUUACUAGGUGGACCAAACGGCAGAUUAGAGAUGCCAAAAUUGCAUAAAUUGAACAGAGAUCAAAAGACGUUAUUUAAUCUAAAAAAUUGAAGAAAAAUGAGCAGAGCCUUAGAGUCCUGUAAAAUAUCAAGCAAGAUAACAUAUAUGUAAUUGGGUUCCGGAGGGAGAGAAGGAAUGGAAAAAAAUAUUUGCAUAAAUAAUGACUGAAAAAUUCCAUGAUUGGCAGAAAACACUAAUUUACAGAUCUAAGAAGGUCAAGCACCCCAAGCAGGAUAUAUAAUUAUAUCACUUCCAUGCAGAAGAGAAAUGCAGAAAGCCAAAGAUAAAGAGCAAAGUGUUGAAAGCAGCCAAAGAAAAGUGACACAUCACGUACAGGAAAAUAGUUCAGCUCAAUGGCUGAAUUUUCAUCAGAAAUACUGGCAUUCAGAAGAAAUUUAAAAAUGCUGAAAACAAAACUAGCAGCCAAGAAUUUUGUAUCAAGCAAAAAUGUCUUUUCAAAAUUAAAGGCAAAAGGAAGCAACUUCCAGAUAAAUUUAAAAGACAGAAUUUAUGCCAUUAUAUUUACACUGUAAGAAAUGCUAAAUGAGGUUCUUCAGGUUGAAGGGAAAUGACCCUGAUGACAACAUGGAUCUACAGGAAAAAAUGAAAAGCAUCAGAAAUCAUACAUAUGUGAGUAAAUAUAAAAUACUAAAUAUUGAUAGAUGAAUAUAUGGAUAGGUACUACACAAACACAUAUGAACAUAUAAUUCUUAAUAUCUUAACACAUGAUAUAGGACUCUUCAAAACAAAAAAUUAUUACAUUGUAUUGUUGGGUUUGUAAUGGACACAGAUAUAAAAUAUGUAACAAUAUUAAGAGUAGGAAAAGUAGAGAUACAUUGUUAAAAGGUUCUAGUAUUUUACUUGAAGUAGUUCAAUAUUAACUCUAGACUAUUAUAAGUUAAAGUUAAGUUGCGUAUUGUAAUCACUACAGCAACCACUAAAAAUAGAACAAAGAAAUACGGCAAAAAAGCCAAGAGACGAAUUAAAAUGUAACACUAAAGAAAAAAAAAAAACACUACGGGGGGCCGGGUGCAGUGGCUCAUGCCUGUAGUCCCAGCACUUUGGGAAGCCAAGGCAGGAGGAUCACCUGAGGUCAGGAGUUCGAGACUAGCCUGGCCAACAUGGUGAAACCCCUCCCCCCAACCAAAAAUACAAAAAUUAGCUGGAUGUGGUGGCACGUGCCUGUAAUCCCAGCUAGUUGGGAGGCUGAGUAGGAAAAUCACUUGAACCCAGGAGGCAGAAAUUGCAGUGAGCAGAGAUCGUGCCACUGCUCUCCAGCCUGGGUGACAGAGCAAGGCUCCAUCUCAAAAAAAAAAAAAAAAAUUAACACUACAAAAGGCAGGAAGAGAGGAACUGUGGAAUAAAACAGAUCAGACAAAUAUAAAUGGGAAGCUUAACUAUAACCAAAUCAAUAAUCAUAUGAUAAUUGAAAACUAAUCAAAAGGUAAUUAAGUGGAAACUGACAUAUUAAUAUGUGUUCAGUCCAUAUACAUAUAUUAUCUCUUUAGUUCCUUUUAAAAAGUGUUUUAUAUUUUUCAGUGUAUAGAUUUUGCAAAAAGUUUGGUAAAUUUAUCCCCAUGUAGUUCAUAUUUUAGGAAGGUAUUAUAAGUUCAAUUGUACUUUUGCUGUUUUGUUCAUUGCUCACAUAUAGAAAUAUGAUAAAUUUUUAUGUAUUGAACUUUCAUCCUUUGACCUCGAUAGAUCUAUUUAUUAGUUCUAGUAAGUUUCUGUAGUCUUCUUAAGAUUUUCUGUAUAAAUGGUCAUGCAAUCUGAAUAAAUACAGUUUUACGGCUUCCU
Molecule: long non-coding RNA, 3171 nt
Filed under: Homo sapiens (human)
Lineage: Eukaryota; Metazoa; Chordata; Mammalia; Primates; Hominidae
Description: HSALNT0159949
Source: RNAcentral